This 274-nucleotide ribosomal RNA is filed under the name uncultured bacterium. Its description in RNAcentral is "partial small subunit ribosomal RNA". It matches the Rfam family "Bacterial small subunit ribosomal RNA", at positions 26 to 285 of the family's 1533-position model. The record is from RNAcentral.
AGAAUCAACGCUGGCGGCGUGCCUAACACAUGCAAGUCGAACGCGAAAGUGGAGCAAUCCAUUAGUAGAGUGGCAAACGGGUGAGUAACACGUGGGUGACCUGCCUUCGAGCGGGGGAUAACGUCCCGAAAGGGACGCUAAUACCGCAUAACAUCCUGCCUUUUAAGAGGUGGAGAUCAAAGCCGGGGAUUCGCAAGAACCUGGCACUUGAAGAGGGGCCCGCGCCUGAUUAGCUAGUUGGUGGGGUAAUGGCCUACCAAGGCAACGAUCAGUA